RNAcentral lists this ribosomal RNA (470 nucleotides) under uncultured bacterium. Its description in RNAcentral is "partial 16S ribosomal RNA". It matches the Rfam family "Bacterial small subunit ribosomal RNA", at positions 27 to 507 of the family's 1533-position model. The record is from RNAcentral.
GGACGAACGCUGGCGGCGUGCUUAACACAUGCAAGUCGAACGGAAAGGCCCUGCUUUUGUGGGGUGCUCGAGUGGCGAACGGGUGAGUAACACGUGAGUAACCUGCCCUUGACUUUGGGAUAACUUCAGGAAACUGGGGCUAAUACCGGAUAGGAGCUCCUGCUGCAUGGUGGGGGGUUGGAAAGUUUCGGCGGUUGGGGAUGGACUCGCGGCUUAUCAGCUUGUUGGUGGGGUAGUGGCUUACCAAGGCUUUGACGGGUAGCCGGCCUGAGAGGGUGACCGGCCACAUUGGGACUGAGAUACGGCCCAGACUCCUACGGGAGGCAGCAGUGGGGAAUAUUGCACAAUGGGCGGAAGCCUGAUGCAGCAACGCCGCGUGCGGGAUGACGGCCUUCGGGUUGUAAACCGCUUUCGCCUGUGACGAAGCGUGAGUGACGGUAAUGGGUAAAGAAGCACCGGCUAACUACGUG